RNAcentral lists this ribosomal RNA (253 nucleotides) under uncultured bacterium. Its description in RNAcentral is "partial 16S ribosomal RNA". It matches the Rfam family "Bacterial small subunit ribosomal RNA", at positions 524 to 776 of the family's 1533-position model. The record is from RNAcentral.
UACGAAGGGGGCUAGCGUUGUUCGGAUUUACUGGGCGUAAAGCGCACGUAGGCGGCGUUCCAUGUCAGAGGUGAAAGCCUGGGGCUCAACUCCAGAAUUGCCUUUGAAACGGGGACGCUUGAGUCCGAGAGAGGGUGGCGGAAUUCCUAGUGUAGAGGUGAAAUUCGUAGAUAUUAGGAAGAACACCAGUGGCGAAGGCGGCCACCUGGCUCGGUACUGACGCUCAGGUUCGAAAGCGUGGGGAGCAAACAGG